Molecule: unclassified non-coding RNA, 2473 nt
Filed under: Leishmania donovani
Lineage: Eukaryota; Euglenozoa; Kinetoplastea; Trypanosomatida; Trypanosomatidae
Description: gene:LdHU3.35.0080(CDS-product:phosphatidylinosit ol-specific_phospholipase-like_protein)
Source: RNAcentral
AGAACAGCUACGACAAAAGGGAACGCACCAUCUCCGCUGCGUGGGCCCUUUACUCCAUCUCAUUGAAUGAGAAGUAGGGCGAGCGCGAGAGCGUCAUCAUGUCCCUUACUUUGACUGGAGAAAAUUCAUGGGACUCCUCUGUGGGGCGCGAAUGCUCCGAGCUUGCGGAUGAGCUGAAAGAGAAGGGCGUGCCCCUUCUUCGCGUGACACGCAACUACAAUGUAAAGAAAGUGCUCAUAUCCUUCUCUCCUGUGGGCGACGGUCUUCAGUGCCAGCCGGCGUCGGAGCAUCACAGCUCUCUUCUUUUUGCUGACAUGUGGGCUAUUCGCUCCCUACCGCCUUCCGACAAAAUCUGCAGCAAGGCAGGCCUCACGCACUUUCAGUACUGCUUUCAGGUGGAGUCCCAGUUUGGCUGGUCGUGGAAUCUCGUAUGCAACACGGCGCUGGAGCGCAGCACCUGGGUUGACUUUCUAGAGCAGCGUCGCCGCACCUUUCUGGACAAGAGCCGCGCCAAUGCGGCAAAUGCGUCCGUCGAGCGAUACUGGUUCAUCGCGGCGCAGCAGGGAAAGACGAAGCUCUCCUUUAACGAGAUAUCGAUGCUCGCCAAUAAGCUGUUUGGUCGAGUGCCCCCUGCGGAGUUUGCCGACCGCUUUCGCCAGUGCGACAGUGACAAAGACACGUGCCUCAACUACCAAGAGUUUUGUGAGUUCUUCCACUACUUCAACGAGGCCAAGGCAGUGCGCAGUAUCUACGAGAGGCAGACAUCAGACGGCACACCUGGCAUGACGGCAGAGGAGUUCACCCGCUUCUGCAUCGCAAACGAUGCGGUGGCCAACGUAACGCCGAUGCGUUGUGCGUCCCUAUUCCACCUCUUUGCAAACCGGCAGUCGGACCGAAUGGCUUUGAACGGCUUUACCGCCUUUCUGCUGCACCCGCACCACAACACCAUCGUAGACGCGCGUCAACUUCGCUUGACAGACUCGAUGGACCACCUCCUUCCACACUACUUCAUCAACAGCUCUCACAACACCUAUCUCAGCGGCAAUCAGCUGAAUUCUGAGAGCUCCUGCAAUAUGUAUCGCGACGUGCUGUUGGCCGGUUGCCGCUGUGUUGAGAUCGAUUGCUGGGAUGGCCCCGCUGGCGUGCCCGUUGUGUAUCAUGGUCGCACCAUGACCACCAAAAUCGCCUUCGACGACGUGGUUCGCACCAUCAACGACUACGCGUUUCAAAACCCUAGCGACAAUCACGAAGCCGCCUGGAACCCUCGCGAAUUCCCCGUGAUUGUCUCCCUCGAAGUGCACACGAGCCCAGAACAAACAAACCGGAUGGCAGAGAUUAUCCGCAGUGUGUUCAAGGAGCGCCUCUUUCUCUCCCGCCUCGAUGCGUCCUCGUACACACCGGCAAAGCUGAAAGGUAAGAUCCUCGUAAAAUGGAAGAUGAAUGCCGCCGGUGUGGAGGAUCUGAAGGAUACGGCGGGUAGCGGCAUUCGGGCAGACCGUCGGGCACCUCUGCUCACCACGCUGAAGCUCUCGGCAUGCGCCUCGAUCGGAACCGUCCGAUCAACGUCAUGGGGCGCCGAGGAGCAACCCUUCAACGUUCAAAGUUACGUGGAAGGGGAGGUAGCUCGGCUAGAGGCGUGCUCCCCGGUGGACUUUGCGCGCCAGAACACACGCAUGCUCUCCCGCAUCUACCCCGCGGGUACUCGCAUCGACUCUUCCAACUACGAUCCCAUGCUCAUGUGGCGCCUCGGCUGUCAGAUGGUAGCGCUCAAUUGGCAGACGCGAGAUCACAACUUUCGCGUUAACGAGGGCUUUUUCACGCAUCAAAACGGUGGGUGCGGCUACGUUCUCAAGCCUAUGCACCUGCGCGAUGUCGGCGGGGGGUGCAGCGCCAUCCCUUUCACCCUUGCUCUGCGACUCAUCUGCGGCUCACAUCUCGGCACCACGUUCGACGGUGCCGACGUCACCCACGUGUCCUUGCGGGUGUGGGUUCACGGCGAAGCGUGGUCGCAUGAAACCAUUGCCGUGCCAACUACAAUCUACCCCGAGUGGAACGAAAGAAUGGAGCUGCAGGGAAGGUGCAAGGAAACCGCAGUGCUCUGCCUUUGUGUUGUGGCACACACCCGCAGUGGUACCACGCAUGAUGUAUGCACAGCAUGUAUUCCGGUUCGUGUUUUGCGAACUGGGUAUCAUGCUAUGCCGCUCCGACACGCCAAAAGUGGACACACGGCCGAGGUCGCAUCUGUUUUGUGUCACCUUUCCUUCAAGACUCCAGCGCUGUUCUCUUGAUGAUUGUCAUACAAACAAGCAGCUGCUCCAUAUUCUUAGUCACUCGGCCUCUCCGGGACCGCGCAGGGCGUACGUGCUGCAAUCAGAUGCUCAGCGCAGCUGUACCACGUCGACGUACUCACAUCUGCCACAAUUCUUGCUGCUUGCUUCACACUCGUCUUGUGACAUUCACUGCAACGCAAAAC